Molecule: ribosomal RNA, 223 nt
Filed under: uncultured bacterium
Lineage: Bacteria
Description: partial 16S ribosomal RNA
Rfam family: Bacterial small subunit ribosomal RNA
Source: RNAcentral
UAACGCGUGAGGAACCUGCCUCAAAGAGGGGGACAACAGUUGGAAACGACUGCUAAUACCGCAUAAGCCCACAGCUCGGCAUCGAGCAGAGGAAAGGAGUGAUCCGCUUUGAGAUGGCCUCGCGUCCGAUUAGCUAGUUGGUGAGGUAAUGGCCCACCAAGGCGACGAUCGGUAGCCGGACUGAGAGGUUGAACGGCCACAUUGGGACUGAGACACGGCCCAG